GAUGAAGAACGUAGCGAAAUGCGAUACUUGGUGUGAAUUGCAGAAUCCCGUGAACCAUCGAGUCUUUGAACGCAAGUUGCGCCCGAAGCCUCGGCUAAGGGCACGUCUGCCUGGGCGUCACGCAUCGCGUCUCCCCCAAACCGCCAAGGCGGAGGGGAAGGAAGAUGGCUUCCCGUGCCUCACCCGGGCGCGGUUGGCCUAAAUUUGGAGCCCGCGGCACUUAGCUCUCGCGGCGAUAGGUGGUGAACAAGGCCUUGGCCGUGCAAACAACCCGCUGCGAAGCUCUAUGUCACGUGCGCUCGUCGGACCCUUUGAAGUUGCCUUCGGUGACUUAAAACCUUUGCGACCCCAGGUCAGGCGGGGCUACCCGCUGAAUUUAAGCAUAUCAAUAACGGAGGA
This 399-nucleotide unclassified non-coding RNA is filed under the name soil metagenome. RNAcentral describes it as "partial contains 5.8S ribosomal RNA, internal transcribed spacer 2, and large subunit ribosomal RNA". The stretch from base 1 to 120 matches the Rfam family "5.8S ribosomal RNA", at positions 35 to 154 of the family's 154-position model. The record is from RNAcentral.